GAAGAACCUUUAUGACAUUAUAGUGAAUGCUUUUGUUCAAACUUUAUAAUGUCAUAGUUCUAUUAUAUUUCAAUAUAGAGAGGGAAACAUUGAAGAUCAAUUGUACGUUGGGGAUAACAUGUCGAUGACUCCCAAGAGCUCUUAUUGAUGGAGUCGUUUGGCACCUCGAUGUCGACUCAUCACAUCCUGGGGUUGAAGAAGGUCCCAAGGGUUCGAUUGUUCGCCGAUGAAAGUGGUACGUGAGUUGGGUUUAGAACAUCACGAGACCGUUCGAUUCCUAUCUACCGUUGGUGUUGAAAAUUGUUGGAGUA
Picea glauca (white spruce) is the source of this 311-nucleotide non-coding RNA. NCBI's taxonomy places the organism in Eukaryota, Viridiplantae, Streptophyta, Pinopsida, Pinales, Pinaceae. The record is from Rfam.